RNAcentral lists this non-coding RNA (29 nucleotides) under Rattus norvegicus (Norway rat). Lineage: Eukaryota; Metazoa; Chordata; Mammalia; Rodentia; Muridae. The record is from RNAcentral.
AGGAGAUGAAGUGUGUUCUUCACUGGUUU